This 253-nucleotide ribosomal RNA is filed under the name uncultured bacterium. Its description in RNAcentral is "partial 16S ribosomal RNA". It matches the Rfam family "Bacterial small subunit ribosomal RNA", at positions 524 to 776 of the family's 1533-position model. The record is from RNAcentral.
UACGGAGGGGGCUAGCGUUGUUCGGAAUUACUGGGCGUAAAGCGCACGUAGGCGGCUUUGUAAGUUAGAGGUGAAAGCCCGGGGCUCAACUCCGGAAUUGCCUUUAAGACUGCAUCGCUAGAAUUGUGGAGAGGUGAGUGGAAUUCCGAGUGUAGAGGUGAAAUUCGUAGAUAUUCGGAAGAACACCAGUGGCGAAGGCGGCUCACUGGACCGGCAUUGACGCUGAGGUGCGAAAGCGUGGGGAGCAAACAGG